GGGGAUGAUCGGUUUCGACGGUAGUGACUGCCGAAGGGAAGCGGGUAGAGGAUGUAGAGUCAUCUCUUUAACGAUUCUCUGCAAAAAAUUAGUUGCCAACAAGCAGCAUUCUGACUUCGCCCUCGCCGCCUGAGCGAGCGCCUAAGUCCGUCACACUAGCGUUGCUUUCGCGCUAGAUUCGUGGCGUCGUUUUUGAAAGCCGCUGUUUUGCCCGCUCGUUAGUGGUUGGCAAAACAUAUUUAGCUAACUAGGUUCGUCAGCGACUUGUUUGCGUGAGUGCUGGAGCCGAAAACAACGUUUAGCAAACUGCACCCGGAGAAGACUUGGGUUUUGCGCUAUCGGACCAGGGUUCAAUUCCCUGCAUCUCCACAG
Molecule: transfer-messenger RNA, 372 nt
Filed under: Actinomycetaceae
Lineage: Bacteria; Bacillati; Actinomycetota; Actinomycetes; Actinomycetales
Also listed under: 1 other name
Description: Arcanobacterium_A bovis Standard tmRNA
Rfam family: transfer-messenger RNA
About the family: Bacterial tmRNA, also known as 10Sa RNA or SsrA, is named for its dual tRNA and mRNA-like properties.
Source: RNAcentral